GAUCACUGCUAUUGGGAUUCGACUAAGCCAUGCGAGUCGAGAGGGUUCGGCCCUCGGCUGACGGCUCAGUAACACGUGGAUAAUCUGCCCUUAGGUGGAGGAUAAUCUCGGGAAACUGAGGAUAAUACUCCAUAGAUCUAGGAUGUUGGAAUGCAUCUAGAUUGAAAGCUCCGGCGCCUAAGGAUGAGUCUGCGGGCUAUCAGGUUGUAGUCAGGGUAAAGACCUGACUAGCCUACGACGGAUACGGGUUGUGAGAGCAAUAACCCGGAGACGAUAUCUGAGACACGAUAUCGGGCCCUACGGGGCGCAGCAGGCGCGAAAACUUCACACUGUGCGAAAGCGCGAUGAGGGAAUCCCAAGUGUUUGCUCGUAAGAGUAAACUGUUUCUUUGUUUAAAACGCAGAGAGAGUAAGGGCUGGGUAAGACGGGUGCCAGCCGCCGCGGUAAUACCUGCAGCUCAAGUGGUGAUCAUUAUUAUUGGGCCUAAAACGUCCGUAGCCGGUUUAGUAAAUGCCUGGGUAAAUCGUGUAGCUUAACUAUACGACUUCCGGGUAGACUGCUAAACUUGAGACCGGGUGAGGCUAGAGGUACUCCUGGGGUAGAGGUGAAAUUCUGUAAUCCUAGGGGGACCACCAGUGGCGAAGGCGUCUAGCUAGAACGGGUCUGACGGUGAGGGACGAAGCCCUGGGGCACAAACCGGAUUAGAUACCCGGGUAGUCCAGGGUGUAAACGCUGCUUGCUUGAUGUUAGUUGGGCUCCGAGCCCAACUAGUGUCGGAGAGAAGUUGUUAAGCAAGCUGCCUGGGAAGCACGGUUGCAAGGCUGAAACUUAA
RNAcentral lists this ribosomal RNA (832 nucleotides) under uncultured archaeon. RNAcentral describes it as "bacterial SSU rRNA". It matches the Rfam family "Archaeal small subunit ribosomal RNA", at positions 21 to 859 of the family's 1478-position model. The record is from RNAcentral.